UUGGGGAGCGCGGUUAACUGCAGUCGACGAACCUUUCGGGGUUAGUGGCGGACGGGUGAGUAACGCGUGAGGAUCUGCCCUUAGGCGGGGGACAACCACUGGAAACGGUGGCUAAUACCCCAUAUGGCGGGAGCUGAAACUUUUUGGCCUGAGGAUGAACUCGCGUCUGAUUAGCUAGUUGGUGAGGUAAGAGCUUACCAAGGCGACGAUCAGUAGCUGUUCUGAGAGGAAGAUCAGCCACACUGGGACUGAGACACGGCCCAGACUCCUACGGGAGGCAGCAGUGGGGAAUUUUCCGCAAUGGGCGCAAGCCUGACGGAGCAACGCCGCGUGAGGGAGGAAUGUCUGUGGAUUGUAAACCUCUUUUCUCUGGGAAGAAGACCUGACGGUACCAGAGGAAUCAGCAUCGGCUAACUCCGUGCCAGCAGCCGCGGUAAGACGGAGGAUGCAAGCGUUAUCCGGAAUUAUUGGGCGUAAAGCGUCCGUAGGCGGUUAAUUAAGUCAGUUGUUAAAGACUACAGCUCAACUGUGGGAGAGCAACUGAAACUGAUUGACUAGAGUAUGGUAGGGGUAGAGGGAAUUCCUAGUGUAGCGGUGAAAUGCGUAGAUAUUAGGAAGAACACCAGUGGCGAAGGCGCUCUACUGGGCCAAGACUGACGCUGAUGGACGAAAGCUAGGGGAGCGAAAGGGAUUAGAUACCCCUGUAGUCCUAGCUGUAAACGAUGGAUACUAGGUGUUGUGCGUAUCGACCCGUGCAGUACCGCANCAAACGCGUUAAGUAUCCCGCCUGGGGAGUACCCACCGCAGUGUGAAACUCAAAGGAAUUGACGGGGGCCCCCCCAACCG
RNAcentral lists this ribosomal RNA (846 nucleotides) under uncultured marine bacterium. RNAcentral describes it as "bacterial SSU rRNA". It matches the Rfam family "Bacterial small subunit ribosomal RNA", at positions 37 to 931 of the family's 1533-position model. The record is from RNAcentral.